CCUAACAUUUAAGCUCAUCGUGUACUUCCUUUGCCCAUAACUUAAAUUUUUAUUUCUUAUAUUUAGAUUGAGGAAGCAUCGUACAACAGCAGUGCGAGUACACAAUUAGCUGUAGCUGCAGAAGAAGAUGUGCACCAGGAGGAUUUAGCCGCGAGACAUGAAGCACAAGAUAGAGAAUUUGAAGAGAUGCAAAGAAGAGCCAACAAGAGAAGAAUAAGCCUGGCAAAAGAAGCAACAUGAGAUGGAUAACCUGAUUGGAUUUCUUUUAAGGGCUCAAGCAACUCAGCAAGCAAAUCAGUCCAACCUGAUGGUGCAUGAAGGCCAUCAUUUUGUGAAAGAAAGAUAGUUAUUUAAUCAUACAUUGCAGUCAUCAGGACAACAUAAGUGGUCUUUUAGUUAUGUAAAUAUUACUUUUCGUCUUAUUUAUUCUCGUGUCAAACUUGAGUCUGUGAUAUUUUUUUUGUCAUUUUGUAUUUAGAAGAUGAUUUGGCUGACAGAUGGAAUAAAUAAUACUAUGAUUUGUCUUUAAUUCCAACUUAUAAUGCAA
This is a non-coding RNA of Aegilops tauschii subsp. strangulata, 547 nucleotides long. The record is from RefSeq and is a predicted model, not a curated record. Lineage: Eukaryota; Viridiplantae; Streptophyta; Magnoliopsida; Poales; Poaceae.